GCGUCCAUCGUCUAAUGGAUAGGACAUAGGUCUUCUAAACCUUUAGUAUAGGUUCAAAUCCUAUUGGACGCA
RNAcentral lists this transfer RNA (72 nucleotides) under Ouret lanata. RNAcentral describes it as "tRNA-Arg". It matches the Rfam family "tRNA". From Rfam's summary of the family: Transfer RNA (tRNA) molecules are approximately 80 nucleotides in length. Their secondary structure includes four short double-helical elements and three loops (D, anti-codon, and T loops). Lineage: Eukaryota; Viridiplantae; Streptophyta; Magnoliopsida; Caryophyllales; Amaranthaceae. RNAcentral also lists the same sequence under 1 other name. The record is from RNAcentral.